GUACUCUGACAGUACAUAUGCUAAAAUUAGAAUGAUAGAGAGAAAAUUAGCAUGUCCUCUUGUAAGAUGAUAUGUAUUCUAUAUUUAAAAAAAUAUUU
Sarcophilus harrisii (Tasmanian devil) is the source of this 98-nucleotide small nuclear RNA. The record is from Ensembl. Lineage: Eukaryota; Metazoa; Chordata; Mammalia; Dasyuromorphia; Dasyuridae.